GAUGAACGCUGGCGGCGUGCCUAAUACAUGCAAGUCGAGCGAACGGACGAGAAGCUUGCUUCUCUGAUGUUAGCGGCGGACGGGUGAGUAACACGUGGAUAACCUACCUAUAAGACUGGGAUAACUUCGGGAAACCGGAGCUAAUACCGGAUGAUAUUUUGAACCGCAUGGUUCAAAAGUGAAAGACGGUCUUGCUGUCACUUAUAGAUGGAUCCGCGCUGCAUUAGCUAGUUGGUAAGGUAACGGCUUACCAAGGCAACGAUGCAUAGCCGACCUGAGAGGGUGUUCGGCCACACUGGAACUGAGACACCGUCCAGACUCCUACGGGAGGCAGCCGUAGGGAAUCUUCCGCAAUGGGCGAAAACCUGACGGAGCAACGCCGCGUGAGUGAUGAAGGUCUUCGGAUCGUAAAGCUCUGUUAUUAGGGAAGAACAUAUGUGUAAGUAACUGUGCACAUCUUGACGGUACCUAAUCAGAAAGCCACGGCUAACUACGUG
RNAcentral lists this ribosomal RNA (497 nucleotides) under uncultured bacterium. RNAcentral describes it as "partial 16S ribosomal RNA". It matches the Rfam family "Bacterial small subunit ribosomal RNA", at positions 28 to 507 of the family's 1533-position model. The record is from RNAcentral.